GCCAGGUGUGGUGGUGGGCGCCUGUAGUCCCAGCUACUCGGGAGGCUGAGGCAGGAGAAUGGCCUGAACCCAGGAGGUGGAGCUUGCAGUGAGCUGAGAUCAGGCCACUACACUCCAGCCUGGGUUACAGAGCAAGACUGUCUCAAAAAAAAAAAAAAAAAAGUAAUAAUAAAUAAAAAUAAAAAAUACUGAGUAGUUCACUAUUUUUUUUUUUUUUUUUUUUGAGACGGAGUUUCGCUCUGUCACCCAGGCUGGAGUGCAGUGGCGUGAUCUCGGCUCACUGCAAGCUCCACCUCCUGGGUUCAGGCCAUUCUCCUGCCUCA
RNAcentral lists this signal recognition particle RNA (323 nucleotides) under Homo sapiens (human). RNAcentral's name for it is "Metazoan signal recognition particle RNA (ENSG00000278702.1)". It matches the Rfam family "Metazoan signal recognition particle RNA". From Rfam's summary of the family: The signal recognition particle (SRP) is a universally conserved ribonucleoprotein. It is involved in the co-translational targeting of proteins to membranes. The eukaryotic SRP consists of a 300-nucleotide 7S RNA and six proteins: SRPs 72, 68, 54, 19, 14, and 9. The record is from RNAcentral. Lineage: Eukaryota; Metazoa; Chordata; Mammalia; Primates; Hominidae.